Molecule: ribosomal RNA, 447 nt
Filed under: uncultured bacterium
Lineage: Bacteria
Description: bacterial SSU rRNA
Rfam family: Bacterial small subunit ribosomal RNA
Source: RNAcentral
UGCCAGACUCCUACGGGAGGCAGCAGUGGGGAAUAUUGGACAAUGGGGGAAACCCUGAUCCAGCGACGCCGCGUGAGUGAAGAAGUAUUUCGGUACGUAAAGCUCUAUCAGCAGGAAAGAAAAUGACGGUACCUGACUAAGAAGCCCCGGCUAACUACGUGCCAGCAGCCGCGGUAAUACGUAGGGGGCAAGCGUUAUCCGGAUUUACUGGGUGUAAAGGGAGCGUAGACGGCAGCGCAAGUCUGGAGUGAAAUGCCGGGGCCCAACCCCGGAACUGCUCUGGAAACUGUGAAGCUGGAGUGCAGGAGAGGUAAGCGGAAUUCCUGGUGUAGCGGUGAAAUGCGUAGAUAUCAGGAGGAACACCGGUGGCGAAGGCGGCCUGCUGGACUGCAACUGACGUUGAGGCCCGAAAGCGUGGGGAGCAAACAGGAUUAGAUACCCGGGUAA